Molecule: transfer RNA, 75 nt
Filed under: Macrococcus lamae
Lineage: Bacteria; Bacillati; Bacillota; Bacilli; Caryophanales; Staphylococcaceae
Also listed under: 4 other names
Description: tRNA-Glu
Rfam family: tRNA
About the family: Transfer RNA (tRNA) molecules are approximately 80 nucleotides in length. Their secondary structure includes four short double-helical elements and three loops (D, anti-codon, and T loops).
Source: RNAcentral
GGCCCCUUGGUCAAGCGGUUAAGACACCGCCCUUUCACGGCGGUAACACGGGUUCGAAUCCCGUAGGGGUCACUA